GGCAGGCCUAACACAUGCAAGUCGAACGCUGUAGCAAUACAGAGUGGCAGACGGGUGAGUAACGCGUGGGAACAUGCCCUUCGGUUCGGAAUAACUCAGGGAAACUUGAGCUAAUACCGGAUACGCCCUUAGGGGGAAAGAUUUAUUGCCGAAGGAUUGGCCCGCGUCCGAUUAGCUAGUUGGUGAGGUAAUGGCUCACCAAGGCGACGAUCGGUAGCUGGUCUGAGAGGAUGAUCAGCCACACUGGGACUGAGACACGGCCCAGACUCCUACGGGAGGCAGCAGUGGGGAAUAUUGGACAAUGGGCGCAAGCCUGAUCCAGCCAUGCCGCGUGAGUGAUGAAGGCCCUAGGGUUGUAAAGCUCUUUCGCCAGGGACGAUAAUGACGGUACCUGGAUAAGAAGCCCCGGCUAACUUCGUGCCAGCAGCCGCGGUAAUACGAAGGGGGCUAGCGUUGUUCGGAAUCACUGGGCGUAAAGCGCACGUAGGCGGAUCUUUAAGUCAGGGGUGAAAUCCCGAGGCUCAACCUCGGAACUGCCUUUGGUACUGGAGGUCUCGAGUCCGGGAGAGGUGAGUGGAACUGCGAGUGUAGAGGUGAAAUUCGUAGAUAUUCGCAAGAACACCAGUGGCGAAGGCGGCUCACUGGCCCGGAACUGACGCUGAGGUGCGAA
RNAcentral lists this ribosomal RNA (670 nucleotides) under uncultured type II methanotroph T2-01. RNAcentral's name for it is "bacterial SSU rRNA". It matches the Rfam family "Bacterial small subunit ribosomal RNA", at positions 41 to 757 of the family's 1533-position model. Lineage: Bacteria; Pseudomonadati; Pseudomonadota; Alphaproteobacteria; Hyphomicrobiales; Methylocystaceae. RNAcentral also lists the same sequence under 1 other name. The record is from RNAcentral.